RNAcentral lists this ribosomal RNA (460 nucleotides) under uncultured bacterium. Its description in RNAcentral is "partial 16S ribosomal RNA". It matches the Rfam family "Bacterial small subunit ribosomal RNA", at positions 338 to 795 of the family's 1533-position model. The record is from RNAcentral.
CCUACGGGUGGCAGCAGUGAGGAAUAUUGGUCAAUGGACGAGAGUCUGAACCAGCCAAGUAGCGUGAAGGAUGAUUGCCCUAUGGGUUGUAAACUUCUUUUAUAUGGGAAUAAAAUGUUCAACGUGGGGGAUUUUGUAUGUACCAUAUGAAUAAGGAUCGGCUAACUCCGUGCCAGCAGCCGCGGUAAUACGGAGGAUCCGAGCGUUAUCCGGAUUUAUUGGGUUUAAAGGGAGCGUAGGUGGAUUGUUAAGUCAGUUGUGAAAGUUUGCGGCUCAACCGUAAAAUUGCAGUUGAAACUGGCAGUCUUGAGUACAGUAGAGGUGGGCGGAAUUCGUGGUGUAGCGGUGAAAUGCUUAGAUAUCACGAAGAACUCCGAUUGCGAAGGCAGUUCACUGGACUGCAACUGACACUGAGGCUCGAAAGUGUGGGUAUCAAACAGGAUUAGAUACCCCGGUAGUC